Molecule: ribosomal RNA, 927 nt
Filed under: uncultured bacterium
Lineage: Bacteria
Description: bacterial SSU rRNA
Rfam family: Bacterial small subunit ribosomal RNA
Source: RNAcentral
ACGCUGGCGGCGUGCUUAACACAUGCAAGUCGAACGAUGAAGCCUAGCUUGCUAGGUGGAUUAGUGGCGAACGGGUGAGUAAUACGUGAGUAACCUACCUUUAACUCUGGGAUAAGCCUGGGAAACUGGGUCUAAUACCGGAUACGACCAAUCUCCGCAUGGGGUGUUGGUGGAAAGCGUUAUGUAGUGGUUAUAGAUGGGCUCACGGCCUAUCAGCUUGUUGGUGAGGUAACGGCUCACCAAGGCGACGACGGGUAGCCGGCCUGAGAGGGUGACCGGCCACACUGGGACUGAGACACGGCCCAGACUCCUACGGGAGGCAGCAGUGGGGAAUAUUGCACAAUGGGCGCAAGCCUGAUGCAGCGACGCCGCGUGAGGGAUGACGGCCUUCGGGUUGUAAACCUCUGUUAGCAGGGAAGAAGAGAAAUUGACGGUACCUGCAGAGAAAGCGCCGGCUAACUACGUGCCAGCAGCCGCGGUAAUACGUAGGGCGCGAGCGUUGUCCGGAAUUAUUGGGCGUAAAGAGCUUGUAGGCGGUUUGUCGCGUCUGCUGUGAAAGGCCGGGGCUUAACCCCGUGUAUUGCAGUGGGUACGGGCAGACUAGAGUGCAGUAGGGGAGACUGGAAUUCCUGGUGUAGCGGUGGAAUGCGCAGAUAUCAGGAGGAACACCGAUGGCGAAGGCAGGUCUCUGGGCUGUAACUGACGCUGAGAAGCGAAAGCAUGGGGAGCGAACAGGAUUAGAUACCCUAGUAGUCCAUGCCGUAAACGUUGGGCACUAGGUGUGGGGGACAUUCCACGUUUUCCGCGCCGUAGCUAACGCAUUAAGUGCCCCGCCUGGGGAGUACGGCCGCAAGGCUAAAACUCAAAGAAAUUGACGGGGGCCCGCACAAGCGGCGGAGCAUGCGGAUUAAUUCGAUGCAACGCGAA